Saccoglossus kowalevskii is the source of this 453-nucleotide long non-coding RNA. RefSeq lists it as uncharacterized. NCBI's taxonomy places the organism in Eukaryota, Metazoa, Hemichordata, Enteropneusta, Harrimaniidae. The record is from RefSeq and is a predicted model, not a curated record.
AGACACCCUGUGAAGCCAUGACAAGAGAGCAGUGAAGUGAAGUGAUCAUUUAAUCGUUAACCAAGCAUGAAGUCGACAGAUGCCAACACUGCCAGAAUGCAUCUGUUGUGGAUGGCACAAGCAAGAGAAUUUAGAGAGAUGAUUAUGCACAAGGGUAUCCUAGCCACUGCAAGGGCAUUCAGAAAUGACCUUUUGAUCAUGGAUGAAGACUAAGAUAUAAGCAAAACUAACCACCAUGAUGUGUAAUCAUGUGUAUACAUGUAGGCAAUUCAUUUUAUGGCAGCAUGGUCAUUUAGAAGCUGGCUUCAGUUUCCUAAUCCUUAUGUUAAAGGGACAUGCUGGUACUGGCCAGUUCCAGCCUUGUCCACAAUCAAGGUUCACUCAUGUUCAUUGACAACAUGGCAUAAUAAGCUACUCCAUAUUCCCUGUAAUGAGAAUAAAUAUAAAACUGUC